UAUAGAGAGAGCCAUGAAUUUGAAGGUUCUUUGUCAGACCCUACCUGCUCGUGCUGGAGCAUGCCAGGAUGAUAUAGUUUUCCCUAGGUCUGGCCUAUGUCAAUUGUGCCCUGUUAUCCAAAAAGUAUGAGGAAGAUUGAAUGUCUCAUUAUAACUCUUGUCCAAAGUGUCCAAGAGAACAUAUCAAGUAACAGAACCAAAAUGUCACCAGCUGAGUGAAACACUUAUAAGCUUACCUGCUACCACCACUUGCAUGAACAAGCUAGCAGGUGAGCUCCAAAUAGAACAGAAAGAGUCAACAGGAGGAGGAGAAGAGCUGAACUCCACUGAAUCUCUGGUCUAGACAUAGGCCACUACAUGAACUCCCAGGCUAACAGACAUGCUAGACUCUCUGGAGAGACUUGCUGGUACAUGUGCAAAUCUUGACAGAAUUUACUAUCUUAUUCUUAAAAUCUGAAGCCCUGAAGUCUACACCAUUCUUUCUUUAUAAGAUUUGGGCCCUCAGCGGCAACCAGGAGCCAACAGUGGUCUUGAACACUUGAAGCGGAUGGGGUUCAUGUUGGAAUCAAGAUAUCUGUGUGGACAAGAGAUGCCUGGUUAUCUUCUGAGAAUUUGCCAGUGAUGCCAAAUUAUGUGAUGGUUUUGUGGAGACCAAAAUAAGAC
Molecule: long non-coding RNA, 663 nt
Organism: Mauremys mutica (yellowpond turtle)
Lineage: Eukaryota; Metazoa; Chordata; Testudines; Geoemydidae
Exons: 6
Source: RefSeq, a predicted model, not a curated record